CGGUAUAUAAAGCAUGCUGAGGUCGUAUCAGGUCAUUUCAAGCUCUUCUGUGUCUAGAGGAAGAGCUACCCCGUGACCGGCUUAGAGAACUGGAAGAGGCCGCAACCUUUCUCCUGCUUGAAGCUGGAGGAUGGAUGGAGUCUGGAGCCCUGGAGCGUGGGACACUGUUUCGCUGUGGUUGGUGGUGGCGACAGAGCAGUAGGAGAGCGCCCGGCAGCGGGAGCUUCUCCUGCUGGGCUGGAGGACUAGGAGAAGGAAGAGGCACUGCCACAUGCUGGAGGCUGGAGCCUGUGCCACCGUGGCUGGCCUGGCUCUGGUUGGUUCGCCUCGCUGUGGUUGGUGGUGACGUCGGAGACUGCAGCUCGGCCACAGUGGUAGAAAUGUGAUGGGGUAGUGCUACUCUUUCGGCAUUCCUGGUUGAACUACUUAAAAGUUCAGUAGCCAUGCAAGAACAGGUGCUGGGUGGAAAAGGCUUUUUAGUUAUUGGCUAAUUACUUGAAAAGUCAUCAAGAGUUCAUAUAACUAGACCUGUCUUGGAGCAAUUUUUAUCUUUUGCAAAAUACCUUGAUGGUUUAUCUCAUGGAGCACCUUUGCUGAAGCAGCUUUGUGAUCAUAUUUUGUUUAUUAACCCAGCCAUCUGGAUACAUACACCUGC
This is a long non-coding RNA of Homo sapiens (human), 655 nucleotides long. RefSeq lists it as uncharacterized. Lineage: Eukaryota; Metazoa; Chordata; Mammalia; Primates; Hominidae. The record is from RefSeq and is a predicted model, not a curated record. The transcript is spliced from 3 exons.